GGGUCCAUAGCUCAACUGGUAGAGCGCUUGCCUUGCACGCAAGAGGUUAGGAGUUCGAGCCUCCUUGGUUCCA
Molecule: transfer RNA, 73 nt
Filed under: Microcoleus vaginatus WJT46-NPBG5
Lineage: Bacteria; Bacillati; Cyanobacteriota; Cyanophyceae; Oscillatoriales; Microcoleaceae
Description: tRNA-Ala
Rfam family: tRNA
About the family: Transfer RNA (tRNA) molecules are approximately 80 nucleotides in length. Their secondary structure includes four short double-helical elements and three loops (D, anti-codon, and T loops).
Source: RNAcentral